This 1242-nucleotide ribosomal RNA is filed under the name uncultured Halomonas sp. RNAcentral describes it as "bacterial SSU rRNA". It matches the Rfam family "Bacterial small subunit ribosomal RNA", at positions 148 to 1391 of the family's 1533-position model. Lineage: Bacteria; Pseudomonadati; Pseudomonadota; Gammaproteobacteria; Oceanospirillales; Halomonadaceae. The record is from RNAcentral.
CUGGGGAAACCCAGGCUAAUACCGCAUACGUCCUACGGGAGAAAGGGGGCUUCGGCUCCCGCUAUUGGAUGAGCCUAUGUCGGAUUAGCUAGUUGGUGAGGUAAUGGCUCACCAAGGCAACGAUCCGUAGCUGGUCUGAGAGGAUGAUCAGCCACAUCGGGACUGAGACACGGCCCGAACUCCUACGGGAGGCAGCAGUGGGGAAUAUUGGACAAUGGGGGCAACCCUGAUCCAGCCAUGCCGCGUGUGUGAAGAAGGCCCUCGGGUUGUAAAGCACUUUCAGCGAGGAAGAACGCCUAUCGGUUAAUACCCGGUAGGAAAGACAUCACUCGCAGAAGAAGCACCGGCUAACUCCGUGCCAGCAGCCGCGGUAAUACGGAGGGUGCAAGCGUUAAUCGGAAUUACUGGGCGUAAAGCGCGCGUAGGUGGCUUGAUAAGCCGGUUGUGAAAGCCCCGGGCUCAACCUGGGAACGGCAUCCGGAACUGUCAGGCUAGAGUGCAGGAGAGGAAGGUAGAAUUCCCGGUGUAGCGGUGAAAUGCGUAGAGAUCGGGAGGAAUACCAGUGGCGAAGGCGGCCUUCUGGACUGACACUGACACUGAGGUGCGAAAGCGUGGGUAGCAAACAGGAUUAGAUACCCUGGUAGUCCACGCCGUAAACGAUGUCGACCAGCCGUKGGGUGCCUAGAGCACUUUGUGGCGAAGUUAACGCGAUAAGUCGACCGCCUGGGGAGUACGGCCGCAAGGUUAAAACUCAAAUGAAUUGACGGGGGCCCGCACAAGCGGUGGAGCAUGUGGUUUAAUUCGAUGCAACGCGAAGAACCUUACCUACCCUUGACAUCUACAGAAGCCGGAAGAGAUUCUGGUGUGCCUUCGGGAACUGUAAGACAGGUGCUGCAUGGCUGUCGUCAGCUCGUGUUGUGAAAUGUUGGGUUAAGUCCCGUAACGAGCGCAACCCUUGUCCUUAUUUGCCAGCACGUAAUGGUGGGAACUCUAAGGAGACUGCCGGUGACAAACCGGAGGAAGGUGGGGACGACGUCAAGUCAUCAUGGCCCUUACGGGUAGGGCUACACACGUGCUACAAUGGCCGGUACAAAGGGCUGCGAGCUCGCGAGAGUCAGCGAAUCCCUUAAAGCCGGUCUCAGUCCGGAUCGGAGUCUGCAACUCGACUCCGUGAAGUCGGAAUCGCUAGUAAUCGUGAAUCAGAAUGUCACGGUGAAUACGUUCCCGGGCCUUGUACACACC